UACGUAGGUGGCAAGCGUUGUCCGGAUUUAUUGGGUUUAAAGGGUGCAUAGGCGGUCUGUUAAGUCAGUGGUGAAAUACGGCAGCUUAACUGUCGAGGUGCCAAUGAUACUGGCGGACUUGAGUACAGACGAGGUAGGCGGAAUUGACGGUGUAGCGGUGAAAUGCAUAGAUAUCGUCAAGAACACCGAUAGCGAAGGCAGCUUACUAGAGUGUAACUGACGCUGAGGCACGAAAGUGUGGGGAUCAAACAGG
This 253-nucleotide ribosomal RNA is filed under the name uncultured bacterium. RNAcentral's name for it is "partial 16S ribosomal RNA". It matches the Rfam family "Bacterial small subunit ribosomal RNA", at positions 524 to 776 of the family's 1533-position model. The record is from RNAcentral.